GAUGAACGCUGGCGGCGUGCUUAACACAUGCAAGUCGAACGAUGAAAGCGGGAGCUUGCUCCUGCUGGAUUAGUGGCGAACGGGUGAGUAACACGUGAGUAACCUGCCCUUGACUCUGGGAUAAGCGUUGGAAACGACGUCUAAUACCGGAUACGACCUUCGGAGGCAUCUCCUGGGGGUGGAAAGAAUUUCGGUCAAGGAUGGACUCGCGGCCUAUCAGCUAGUUGGUGAGGUAAUGGCUCACCAAGGCGACGAUGGGUAGCCGGCCUGAGAGGGUGAACGGCCACACUGGGACUGAGACACGGCCCAGACUCCUACGGGAGGCAGCAGUAGGGAAUAUUGCGCAAUGGGCGGAAGCCUGACGCAGCGACGCCGCGUGAGCGAAGAAGGCCUUCGGGUCGUAAAGCUCUGUCCUUGGGGAAGAAGGCGAAAGCUUGACGGUACCCAAGAAGAAAGCCCCGGCUAACUACGUG
Molecule: ribosomal RNA, 473 nt
Filed under: uncultured bacterium
Lineage: Bacteria
Description: bacterial SSU rRNA
Rfam family: Bacterial small subunit ribosomal RNA
Source: RNAcentral